This 225-nucleotide ribosomal RNA is filed under the name uncultured bacterium. RNAcentral describes it as "partial 16S ribosomal RNA". It matches the Rfam family "Bacterial small subunit ribosomal RNA", at positions 28 to 240 of the family's 1533-position model. The record is from RNAcentral.
GACGAACGCUGGCGGCGUGCUUAACACAUGCAAGUCGAGCGGUAAGGCCCUUUCGGGGGUACACGAGCGGCGAACGGGUGAGUAACACGUGGGUGACCUGCCCUCAGCUCUGGGAUAAGCCUGGGAAACUAGGGCUAAUACCGGAUAAGACCACAGGUUCCAUGGAACCGAAGGGGUAAAAGGCGGCCUUCGGCUGUCGACCGAAAGAUGACGUCCGCCGUCCCA